AUUGAACGCUGGCGGCAGGCCUAACACAUGCAAGUCGAGCGGAUGCAGGGAGCUUGCUCCUGGAUUCAGCGGCGGACGGGUGAGUAAUGCCUAGGAAUCUGCCUGGUAGUGGGGGAUAACGUCCGGAAACGGGCGCUAAUACCGCAUACGUCCUGAGGGAGAAAGUGGGGGAUCUUCGGACCUCACGCUAUCAGAUGAGCCUAGGUCGGAUUAGCUAGUUGGUGGGGUAAAGGCCUACCAAGGCGACGAUCCGUAACUGGUCUGAGAGGAUGAUCAGUCACACUGGAACUGAGACACGGCCCAGACUCCUACGGGAGGCAGCAGUGGGGAAUAUUGGACAAUGGGCGAAAGCCUGAUCCAGCCAUGCCGCGUGUGUGAAGAAGGUCUUCGGAUUGUAAAGCACUUUAAGUUGGGAGGAAGGGCAGUAAGUUAAUACCUUGCUGUUUUGACGUUACCAACAGAAUAAGCACCGGCUAACUUCGUG
This 484-nucleotide ribosomal RNA is filed under the name uncultured bacterium. RNAcentral's name for it is "partial 16S ribosomal RNA". It matches the Rfam family "Bacterial small subunit ribosomal RNA", at positions 30 to 507 of the family's 1533-position model. The record is from RNAcentral.